GCCUAAAGCGUCCGUAGCCGGCUAUGUUAGUUUUCGGUUAAAUCCAUGUGCUUAACACAUGGGCUGUCGAAAAUACUGCAUAGCUAGGGAGUGGGAGAGGUAGACGGUACUCUGUAGGAAGGGGUAAAAUCCUUUGAUCUAUAGAUGACCACCAGUGGCGAAGGCGGUCUACCAGAACACGUCCGACGGUGAGGGAUGAAAGCUGGGGGAGCAAACCGGAUUAGAUACCCGGGUAGUCCCAGCUGUAAACUAUGCAAACUCAGUGAUGCAUUGGCUUGUGGCCAGUGCAGUGCCGCAGAGAAGUCGUUAAGUUUGCCGCCUGGGAAGUACGUACGCAAGUAUGAAACUUAAAGGAAUUGGCGGGGGAGCACCACAAGGGGUGAAGCCUGCGGUUCAAUUGGAGUCAACGCCAGAAAUCUUACCCGGAGAGACAGCAGGAUGAAGGUCAAGCUGAAGACUUUACCAGACAAGCUGAGAAGUGGUGCAUGGCCGUCGCCAGCUCGUGCCGUGAGGUGUCCUGUUAAGUCAGGUAACGAGCGAGAUCCUUGCUUCUAGUUGCCACCAUUACUCUCAGGAGUAGUGGGGCGAAUUAGCGGGACUGCCGCAGUUAAAUGCGGAGGAAGGAGAGGGCCACGGCAGGUCAGUAUGCCCCGAA
Molecule: ribosomal RNA, 655 nt
Filed under: uncultured archaeon
Lineage: Archaea
Description: bacterial SSU rRNA
Rfam family: Archaeal small subunit ribosomal RNA
Source: RNAcentral